Molecule: ribosomal RNA, 500 nt
Filed under: uncultured bacterium
Lineage: Bacteria
Description: partial 16S ribosomal RNA
Rfam family: Bacterial small subunit ribosomal RNA
Source: RNAcentral
AUUGAACGCUGGCGGCAUGCGUAACACAUGCAAGUCGAACGGUUUCUGGUGCUUGCACCGGAGAUAGUGGCGGACGGGUGAGUAAUACGUAGGAAUCUGUCUUAGAGAGGGGGACGACCUGAGGAAACUUAGGCUAAAACUGCAUAAACUCGGAAGAGAAAAGCAGGGGACCGGAAACGGCCUUGUGCUCUAAGGUGAGCCUACGACGGAUUAGCAAGUUGGUGGGGUAAAGGCCUACCAAGGCGAUGAUCUGUCGCUGGUCUGAGUGGACGGACCGCCCCACUGGGAGCGGGCUACGGACCCAGCUCCUCCGGGAGGCAGCAGUGGGAAAUAUUGGACAAUGGGGGGAACCCUGAUCCAGCGAUGCCGCGUGUGGGAAGAAGGCCUGCGGGUUGUAAAGCACUUUCAGUUGGAAAGAGAAGCGAGAUGAGAAUAUUGUUUCGUGGAGACGUUACUAACAGAAGAAGCACCGGCUAACUCUGUGCCAGCCGCCGCAGUAA